ACACGCUACAAUGGCCAACACAAUAGGUUGCUAAGCCGCGAGGUGGAGCCAAUCCUCAAAGUUGGUCUCAGUUCGGAUUGCAGGCUGCAACUCGCCUGCAUGAAGCCGGAAUCGCUAGUAAUCGCGGAUCAGCAUGCCGCGGUGAAUACGGUUCCCGGGCCUU
This 163-nucleotide ribosomal RNA is filed under the name uncultured Anaerolineaceae bacterium. RNAcentral's name for it is "partial 16S ribosomal RNA". It matches the Rfam family "Bacterial small subunit ribosomal RNA", at positions 1220 to 1382 of the family's 1533-position model. The record is from RNAcentral. Lineage: Bacteria; Bacillati; Chloroflexota; Anaerolineae; Anaerolineales; Anaerolineaceae.